Molecule: long non-coding RNA, 938 nt
Filed under: Sus scrofa (pig)
Lineage: Eukaryota; Metazoa; Chordata; Mammalia; Artiodactyla; Suidae
Description: lncRNA (ENSSSCG00025024088.1)
Source: RNAcentral
ACCAAGAUUUGGUGUUAGGGCCCCUGCCCAGCAGAUGGUGCCAGAGUGAGAGCACAGUUCCUGCCCCACCCAACCAUGUCCCCUCCACAGCUCCAUGGCUGCAUCGACAGGCUCAGAUUCAGAGUGGAAAGUGAUUGGUGGAGGCCCAAUACGUUCAGAUAUUUUCCUUUGGGUACAUGGUUCAGUGGACACCGUGGCCCAGUGUGCCUCAACUCAGAGAAGGACUAAGUUUCUUUCACCCCAUCUCGGGUUCAAUCUCUGGACAAUCAUGUGGCCCAAUGUCUAGAGAGUUUGUCAGGCUCCCUGGGGCCUGAGUGCCCAUUGCUUGUUUGAAGUACAACACUGGACCCAGAAAUCCCAGAAAUUCCAAAACAUGAAGUGUUUUGGAAUCAGGAUGCUGUGAAAUUUGGUUUCUAGAAACUGAGGCCUUUUGUUAUGAAUGCAGCAUAUCAAUGCAUUUGUAUACUAGGGGCAGGUCUUAGCCUGUCCCUAUGCCCUUUCACUCUAGGGAUCUCUACAUCCUCCUCUUUCCCACUCCACCUGAGCCACCUACACCUCUUUGGGGGACCCUUGUGCCAAGAAACCUACCUUAAUCCAGAUCAAGUGAAUGAAGCCUGGGAUUCUGGAUCUCAAGGGUUCCCCCAAAGCCUCUGUCUUCCUUCUGUAGCUGAGCUGCUUCAGCCUCUGUGGGACACCCAUUUGAAGGAACCUGUCUAAAUCCAUGUAAGGUGAGUCAUGGCUGGGGAGGAAGGCUGCUGAUAAAAGGCUUACUGUCCUAACUUAAAUAGGAGGGUUGCUUCUUUCAGGGAGUUGGAUAAAGUUGCGUUUGGUGACUAGCCUGGCUGACUGUGAGAUUGUCACUCCAUCAUAUGUAGUGCAUCUGAGGGGGUCUAGAGGGAUGCGGGCAUGAAAAUCACAUUAGCAAGAGCCCCAGGGCA